RNAcentral lists this long non-coding RNA (343 nucleotides) under Nicotiana benthamiana. RNAcentral describes it as "long non-coding RNA (NBEN_LNC012769)". The record is from RNAcentral. Lineage: Eukaryota; Viridiplantae; Streptophyta; Magnoliopsida; Solanales; Solanaceae.
UCGCAUCCAUCUUCAUUUGAGACAUUGUCUCCCUCUCCACAGAGUUCAUCUCCUAGCAUUUCUAGACAUCGUGUUCGGGAUAGUAGCACUGAGGCAGAUGCCCCCUCUUCUGCAUAUGCUUCAGAUGAUGCGGAUGAUGUGAGUUAUGAUCAUUACAAAGGUUGAUCAUCAGGCCUGAGAGCAAUGGGUACGAUUUAUUUAUUACUUCUUUAUUUUUGCCGAAUUAUAAAAGCUCUUCUGCGCAUGCUUCAGAUGAUGCGGAUGAUGUGCGUUAUAAUCAUUACCAUAGGUUGAGGGCAAUGGGUAAGAUUUAUUUAUUACUUCUUUAUUUUUGCCGAAUUAU